RNAcentral lists this ribosomal RNA (496 nucleotides) under uncultured bacterium. Its description in RNAcentral is "partial 16S ribosomal RNA". It matches the Rfam family "Bacterial small subunit ribosomal RNA", at positions 28 to 506 of the family's 1533-position model. The record is from RNAcentral.
GAUGAACGCUGGCGGCGUGCCUAAUACAUGCAAGUCGAGCGAACGGACGAGAAGCUUGCUUCUCUGAUGUUAGCGGCGGACGGGUGAGUAACACGUGGAUAACCUACCUAUAAGACUGGGAUAACUUCGGGAAACCGGAGCUAAUACCGGAUAAUAUUUUGAACCGCAUGGUUCAAAAGUGAAAGACGGUCUUGCUGUCACUUAUAGAUGGAUCCGCGCUGCAUUAGCUAGUUGGUAAGGUAACGGCUUACCAAGGCAACGAUGCAUAGCCGACCUGAGAGGGUGAUCGGCCACACUGGAACUGAGACACGGUCCAGACUCCUACGGGAGGCAGCAGUAGGGAAUCUGCCGCAAUGGGCGGAAGCCUGACGGAGCAACGCCGCGUGAGUGAUGAAGGUCUUCGGAUCGUAAAACUCUGUUAUUAGGGAAGAACAUAUGUGUAAGUAACUGUGCACAUCUUGACGGUACCUAAUCAGAAAGCCACGGCUAACUACGU